RNAcentral lists this ribosomal RNA (449 nucleotides) under uncultured bacterium. RNAcentral's name for it is "bacterial SSU rRNA". It matches the Rfam family "Bacterial small subunit ribosomal RNA", at positions 29 to 518 of the family's 1533-position model. The record is from RNAcentral.
AACGAACGCUGGCGGCAGGCUUAACACAUGCAAGUCGAGCGAAGACUUCGGUCUUAGCGGCGGACGGGUGAGUAACGCGUGGGAACGUGCCCUUCUCUACGGAACAGUCCUGGGAAACUGGGUUUAAUACCGUAUACGCCCUUUUGGGGAAAGAUUUAUCGGAGAAGGAUCGGCCCGCGUUGGAUUAGGUAGUUGGUGGGGUAAUGGCCUACCAAGCCUACGAUCCAUAGCUGGUUUGAGAGGAUGAUCAGCCACACUGGGACUGAGACACGGCCCAGACUCCUACGGGAGGCAGCAGUGGGGAAUCUUAGACAAUGGGGGCAACCCUGAUCUAGCCAUGCCGCGUGAGUGAUGAAGGCCUUAGGGUUGUAAACCUCUUUCAGCACGGACGAAGCGCAAGUGACGGUACGUGCAGAAGAAGGACCGGCCAACUACGUGCCAGCCGCCGC